AGCUUUGCGCAGUGGCAGUAUCGUAGCCAAUGAGGUUUAUCCGAGGCGCGAUUAUUGCUAAUUAAAUUUUUAGUGAACAUCUUUAGAUAUGUAUUUAUUACUUUCUUAAAUUAUAAAAGGAAUACAAAUUU
Molecule: small nuclear RNA, 131 nt
Filed under: Neogale vison (American mink)
Lineage: Eukaryota; Metazoa; Chordata; Mammalia; Carnivora; Mustelidae
Description: Neovison vison (American mink) U4 spliceosomal RNA (ENSNVIG00000009549.1)
Rfam family: U4 spliceosomal RNA
About the family: U4 small nuclear RNA (U4 snRNA) is a component of the major U2-dependent spliceosome. The structure of U4 snRNA from yeast and human has been reported. U4 snRNA presents a k-turn RNA motif in the 5p-SL related to recognition of Snu13 protein.
Source: Rfam by way of RNAcentral